Molecule: ribosomal RNA, 440 nt
Filed under: uncultured bacterium
Lineage: Bacteria
Description: bacterial SSU rRNA
Rfam family: Bacterial small subunit ribosomal RNA
Source: RNAcentral
CCUACGGGUGGCAGCAGCAAGGAAUUUUCCACAAUGGGCGCAAGCCUGAUGGAGCAACGCCGCGUGCAGGAUGACGGCUUUCGGGUUGUAAACUGCUUUUUGGGGGGAAGAGUAGGACGGUACCCCCAGAAUAAGCCUCGGCUAACUCUGUGCCAGCAGCCGCGGUAAGACAGAGGAGGCAAGCGUUGUCCGGACUUACUGGGCGUAAAGCGUCCGCAGGUGGUCGUGCAAGUGCGCUGUGAAAGCGCUCGGCUUAACUGAGCGAGGCCAGUGCAGACUGCACAACUCGAGGUCGGGAGAGGUCGGUGGAAUUGCCGGUGUAGUGGUGAAAUGCGUAGAGAUCGGCAGGAACACCCAAGGGGAAGCCAGCCGACUGGCCCGCACCUGACACUCAGGGACGACAGCGUGGGGAGCGAACCGGAUUAGAUACCCCAGUAGUC